CAGUCGAACGAUGAAGCUGGAGCUUGCUCCAGUGGAUUAGUGGCGAACGGGUGAGUAACACGUGAGCAAUCUGCCCUUGACUCUGGGAUAACUGCGGGAAACUGUAGCUAAUACCGGAUACGACACCUUGGGGCAUCCUGGGGUGUGGAAAGAAUUUCGGUCAAGGAUGAGCUCGCGGCCUAUCAGCUAGUUGGUGAGGUAAUGGCUCACCAAGGCGACGACGGGUAGCCGGCCUGAGAGGGUGACCGGCCACACUGGAACUGAGAUACGGUCCAGACUCCUACGGGAGGCAGCAGUGGGGAAUAUUGCACAAUGGGCGCAAGCCUGAUGCAGCAACGCCGCGUGAGGGAUGAAGGCCUUCGGGUUGUAAACCUCUUUUAGCAGGGAAGAAGCGAAAGUGACGGUACCUGCAGAAAAAGCACCGGCUAACUACGUGCCAGCAGCCGCGGUAAUACGUAGGGUGCAAGCGUUGUCCGGAAUUAUUGGGCGUAAAGAGCUCGUAGGCGGUUUGUCGCGUCUGCUGUGAAAAUCCAAGGCUCAACCUUGGACCUGCAGUGGGUACGGGCAGACUAGAGUGCGGUAGGGGAGAUGGGAAUUCCUGGUGUAGCGGUGGAAUGCGCAGAUAUCAGGAGGAACACCAAUGGCGAAGGCACAUCUCUGGGCCGUAACUGACGCUGAGGAGCGAAAGCGUGGGGAGCGAACAGACUUAGAUACCCUGGUAGUCCACGCCGUAAGCGGUGGGUGCUAGUUGUGGGCCACAUUCCACGUGGUCCGUGACGAAGUUAACACAUUAAGCACCCCGCCUGGGGAGUACGGUCGCAAGACUAAAACUCAAAGGAAUUGACGGG
RNAcentral lists this ribosomal RNA (848 nucleotides) under uncultured bacterium. Its description in RNAcentral is "bacterial SSU rRNA". It matches the Rfam family "Bacterial small subunit ribosomal RNA", at positions 59 to 917 of the family's 1533-position model. The record is from RNAcentral.